GCCUUUAUAGCUCAGUGGUAGUAGCGUAGCACUUGUAAUGCUAAGGUCCUGUGUUCAAUCCACAGUGGAGGCA
Transfer RNA from Pneumocystis jirovecii, 73 nucleotides. It matches the Rfam family "tRNA". Rfam says of the family: Transfer RNA (tRNA) molecules are approximately 80 nucleotides in length. The record is from Rfam. Lineage: Eukaryota; Fungi; Ascomycota; Pneumocystomycetes; Pneumocystales; Pneumocystaceae.